GACGAACGCUGGCGGCGUGCCUAAUACAUGCCAGUAGAACGCUGAAGAGAGGAGCUUGCUCUUCUUGGAUGAGUUGCGAACGGGUGAGUAACGCGUAGGUAACCUGCCUUGUAGCGGGGGAUAACUAUUGGAAACGAUAGCUAAUACCGCAUAACAAUGGAUGACACAUGUCAUUUAUUUGAAAGGGGCAAUUGCUCCACUACAAGAUGGACCUGCGUUGUAUUAGCUAGUAGGUGAGGUAAUGGCUCACCUAGGCGACGAUACAUAGCCGACCUGAGAGGGUGAUCGGCCACACUGGGACUGAGACACGGCCCAGACUCCUACGGGAGGCAGCAGUAGGGAAUCUUCGGCAAUGGGGGCAACCCUGACCGAGCAACGCCGCGUGAGUGAAGAAGGUUUUCGGAUCGUAAAGGUCUGUUGUAAGUCAAGAACGGGUGUGAGAGUGGAAAGUUCACACUGUGACGGUAGCUUACCAGAAAGGGACGGCUAACUACGUG
Molecule: ribosomal RNA, 497 nt
Filed under: uncultured bacterium
Lineage: Bacteria
Description: partial 16S ribosomal RNA
Rfam family: Bacterial small subunit ribosomal RNA
Source: RNAcentral